UGCAUCGACUGGGAAUCGAACCCGGGCCGCCCGUGUGGCAGGCGAGCAUUCCACCACUGAACCACCGAUGG
Molecule: transfer RNA, 71 nt
Filed under: Cordylochernes scorpioides
Lineage: Eukaryota; Metazoa; Arthropoda; Arachnida; Pseudoscorpiones; Chernetidae
Description: tRNA-Gly
Source: RNAcentral